RNAcentral lists this long non-coding RNA (753 nucleotides) under Mytilus galloprovincialis (Mediterranean mussel). Lineage: Eukaryota; Metazoa; Mollusca; Bivalvia; Mytilida; Mytilidae. The record is from RNAcentral.
GCAGUAACGCUCGAAUAAAAAAGUUAAAAGGGCCUAUUUAAGAACGAAUUUCAAGUGAAUGAAAAGUUAUAUUAAGUUUGAUUGAUCCUCUGAAUUAAUUAGUGGAUGCACGAAAUUUGCAGUGAAGUUACUAUUUCGGCCUUUUCAAUUCUUUUAACAAUUAUAAAUAUCAAAACAAAAUCAAAAGAAAGUGUGAAAAAUGAACGAUGAAGAAAAAAAUAAUUGGAGAGUUAAUUAUGUUAUGUUAAAAAAAAAAGCCAGUAGCGGGGUCGGUGAGCAAGAAAGAAAUUCUAAUAUAUAAAUAAGGAGAUGUGGUAUGAUCGCCACAACAACUGUAGGUCACCGAGUGGCUUCCAACGAUAAGGAAAAAACUUGAACUGAUAUCGUAUUAAUCAUUUUUUAAUAAAUGUCAGUUAUAAAUUGUACUGCAACAAUAAACAAAAAACAGUUAUGACAGAGCAACAAACAACGACCACAGGAUUACAGACUCCUUGAUUGGGACAGACACACGAAGACCGUGGCGGGAUAAACACAUGUUAGCACUAAAGGGGGAAGGAUCGUAACAGUUCAACAUAAGAACAACACGUUAAUAAUAAUAUGUAUAAUACCGAUUACAUGUAGGUAUGUUUCUCCAGAAUUCCAAGUGUAAUUAUAAGAGCACGGCCAUUCACUAGUUGAAAAAACACUUUAAAUACGAAAAACUGACACAAUAUAAAGAGGUUAUUCGCUUAUAGUUAUACGGUUGUGUCCGCA